Salvelinus sp. IW2-2015 is the source of this 444-nucleotide non-coding RNA. NCBI's taxonomy places the organism in Eukaryota, Metazoa, Chordata, Actinopteri, Salmoniformes, Salmonidae. The record is from RefSeq and is a predicted model, not a curated record.
CUCCCCCUCAGCUGGGCUGCUGACCCCAGAAUUAAGAAGAGGAAGAAGCCGGGCCAGGAGGGAGCGAGGAGGAAGUUCACCUGGAAGAAACGCUGAGGUGAAGGACAGAAUAGAACUGGACACAGGGAAAUCACAGCAACAUCUUCAUCAUUAUCUUCCUCUGAGAUCAGAACUGUUAUUAGUAAGUGGACAAAUUGUUCAUCCAACCCCUGUUGUAGCUUUUUAUAUGUCCCSUAAAGGUGUUUUAGAUCUGGAAAUGGACACCAAGUACAUGACUCAAAUACAUGUACAAAUUCAAAGGGGUUCUGUCCAUGUGAGGGCAGAAUUCCCAACUCCAUAUAGGCUGCAAUGUUUUUUUUCUGCCACCAGAGGGCCAUCUCUGGCAACACACCUGUCCAUUGUCUUUGUCUGUAUAUUGAAAAUAAAAAUGUUGUUUUUCAUAUA